UGGAGCCCACAGUUCUGCUAUCUCCGAGUCUCAAUCAAAGAAGCUGGGGUCCCUCCAGCUUUCCCCGCCUACUCAGGACCUGGUCCCGGGCUCCAGAGAGGUGCUCACUGUUCCAACUUGUGUGCCAAGCUCGAAGGAAUAAUUAGACUGAGGAGGAGAGGCCGGUCUUUAAAGGAAGCGACGUGUUGCCGGGCAGCUGCUGAGCGCCCGUUGAAAAUUAGCUGUGCCGAGGCCUACAGGCUGAUUCCCGGCUGCCAGGUGUAAGCUGACUCCAUUCUCCACAAGCAGAAGAGAAGCUGAAACCCAGAAUGCCCACCUGCAUCCUUCCUGGCCUGAUGAGCUCCCACAAACUCCUGGUAGAGAAACCGGCAUUUGAUGGAUUCUCACCUGAGGAGAACUGGACUGAAAGUGAAAACAACACAGAAGAAAUACAACCAGAAGGUGAAGGGAGGCUGAGCCCUCCUUGUACCCCAUCACCCUGAGGCCUCGCUGGCCUACAGAGGCUCAGCUCUGCAGUUUCCAGGUGUGGUUGCCGGUAAAUAAACACCUUUAUUUGCUUUUGUC
Fukomys damarensis (Damara mole-rat) is the source of this 564-nucleotide long non-coding RNA. RefSeq lists it as uncharacterized. NCBI's taxonomy places the organism in Eukaryota, Metazoa, Chordata, Mammalia, Rodentia, Bathyergidae. The transcript has 3 exons. The record is from RefSeq and is a predicted model, not a curated record.